AGAGUUUGAUCAUGGCUCAGAUUGAACGCUGGCGGUAUGCUUAACACAUGCAAGUCGAACGGUAACAGGCCUUCGGGCGCUGACGAGUGGCGGACGGGUGAGUAACGCGUAGGAAUCUGCCUCAUAGUGGGGGACAACUUGGGGAAACUCAAGCUAAUACCGCAUACGCCCUACGGGGGAAAGCGGGGGACCUUCGGGCCUCGCGCUAUGAGAUGAGCCUGCGUUAGAUUAGCUAGUUGGUGGGGUAAAGGCCUACCAAGGCGACGAUCUAUAGCUGGUCUGAGAGGACAAUCAGCCACACUGGGACUGAGACACGGCCCAGACUCCUACGGGAGGCAGCAGUGGGGAAUAUUGGACAAUGGGCGCAAGCCUGAUCCAGCAAUACCGCGUGUGUGAAGAAGGCCUGAGGGUUGUAAAGCACUUUCAAUUGGGAGGAAAACCUGCCGGUCAAUACCCGGCAGCUUGACAUUACCUUUAGAAGAAGCACCGGCUAACUCCGUGCCAGCAGCCGCGGUAAUACGGAGGGUGCGAGCGUUAAUCGGAAUUACUGGGCGUAAAGCGUGCGUAGGCGGUUAUUUAAGUCAGAUGUGAAAGCCCCGGGCUUAACCUGGGAACUGCAUUUGAUACUGGGUAACUAGAGUUUAGUAGAGGAGAGUGGAAUUUCAGGUGUAGCGGUGAAAUGCGUAGAGAUCUGAAGGAACACCAGUGGCGAAGGCGACUCACUGGACUAAAACUGACGCUGAGGUACGAAAGCGUGGGUAGCAAACAGGAUUAGAUACCCUGGUAGUCCACGCCGUAAACGAUGUCAACUAGCCGUUGGGCCUUUUAACAGGCUUAGUGGCGCAGCUAACGCAUUAAGUUGACCGCCUGGGGAGUACGGCCGCAAGGUUAAAACUCAAAUGAAUUGACGGGGGCCCGCACAAGCGGUGGAGCAUGUGGUUUAAUUCGAUGCAACGCGAAGAACCUUACCUACCCUUGACAUCCAGAGAAUCUGUUAGAGAUAGCGGAGUG
This 1011-nucleotide ribosomal RNA is filed under the name uncultured Methylobacter pAMC415. RNAcentral's name for it is "bacterial SSU rRNA". It matches the Rfam family "Bacterial small subunit ribosomal RNA", at positions 8 to 1016 of the family's 1533-position model. The record is from RNAcentral. Lineage: Bacteria; Pseudomonadati; Pseudomonadota; Gammaproteobacteria; Methylococcales; Methylococcaceae.